Molecule: ribosomal RNA, 1346 nt
Filed under: uncultured bacterium
Lineage: Bacteria
Description: partial 16S ribosomal RNA
Rfam family: Bacterial small subunit ribosomal RNA
Source: RNAcentral
GACGAACGCUGGCGGCGUGCUUAACACAUGCAAGUCGAACGGAAAGGCCCUGCUUUUGUGGGGUGCUCGAGUGGCGAACGGGUGAGUAACACGUGAGUAACCUGCCCUUGACUUUGGGAUAACUUCAGGAAACUGGGGCUAAUACCGGAUAGGAGCUCCUGCUGCAUGGUGGGGGUUGGAAAGUUUCGGCGGUUGGGGAUGGACUCGCGGCUUAUCAGCUUGUUGGUGGGGUAGUGGCUUACCAAGGCUUUGACGGGUAGCCGGCCUGAGGGGGUGACCGGCCACAUUGGGACUGAGAUACGGCCCAGACUCCUACGGGAGGCAGCAGUGGGGAAUAUUGCACAACGGGCGGAAGCCUGAUGCAGCAACGCCGCGUGCGGGAUGACGGCCUUCGGGUUGUAAACCGCUUUCGCCUGUGACGAAGCGUGAGUGACGGUAAUGGGUAAAGAAGCACCGGCUAACUACGUGCCAGUAGCCGCGGUGAUACGUAGGGUGCGAGCGUUGUCCGGAUUUAUUGGGCGUAAAGGGCUCGUAGGUGGUUGAUCGCGUCGGAAGUGUAAUCUUGGGGCUUAACCCUGAGCGUGCUUUCGAUACGGGUUGACUUGAGGAAGGUAGGGGAGAAUGGAAUUCCUGGUGGAGCGGUGGAAUGCGCAGAUAUCAGGAGGAACACCAGUGGCGAAGGCGGUUCUCUGGGCCUUUCCUGACGCUGAGGAGCGAAAGCGUGGGGAGCGAACAGGCUUAGAUACCCUGGUAGUCCACGCUGUAAACGGUGGGUACUAGGUGUGGGGUCCAUUCCACGGGUUCCGUGCCGUAGCUAACGCUUUAAGUACCCCGCCUGGGGAGUACGGCCGCAAGGCUAAAACUCAAAGGAAUUGACGGGGCCCCGCACAAGCGGCGGAGCAUGCGGAUUAAUUCGAUGCAACGCGUAGAACCUUACCUGGGUUUGACAUGGAUCGGGAGUGCUCAGAGAUGGGUGUGCCUCUUUUGGGGUCGGUUCACAGGUGGUGCAUGGCUGUCGUCAGCUCGUGUCGUGAGAUGUUGGGUUAAGUCCCGCAACGAGCGCAACCCUUGUUCACUGUUGCCAGCACGUUAUGGUGGGGACUCAGUGGAGACCGCCGGGGUCAACUCGGAGGAAGGUGGGGAUGACGUCAAGUCAUCAUGCCCCUUAUGUCCAGGGCUUCACGCAUGCUACAAUGGCUGGUACAGAGAGUGGCGAGCCUGUGAGGGUGAGCGAAUCUCGGAAAGCCGGUCUCAGUUCGGAUUGGGGUCUGCAACUCGACCUCAUGAAGUCGGAGUCGCUAGUAAUCGCAGAUCAGCAACGCUGCGGUGAAUACGUUCCCGGGGCU